Magnolia sinica is the source of this 382-nucleotide long non-coding RNA. RefSeq lists it as uncharacterized. The record is from RefSeq and is a predicted model, not a curated record. Lineage: Eukaryota; Viridiplantae; Streptophyta; Magnoliopsida; Magnoliales; Magnoliaceae. The transcript is spliced from 4 exons.
CCCCCCGUAACAGGGUUGGGCAAAUUUCAGUGUGGUUCUGGGAACUUUCAAUAUUGGGGACCAAGGUGAAGGCAUUGUACCUGACCUUACGCUGAUUAUUGGAGCAGUUCUGAAUUCUGUUGGAGUUGGAAAUGUGGCUACUAGUGGCGGGGCGAGCAAUACACCUACAGCUGCCAAUGUGGCUGGCCCACCAUCCUAAGAAUAUUGCAGGGCGCAUUGAAAGAGGGGGGAACUACUGAUCCAGUGACACGGGGACAAAUUCAGGCAGAAACAAUGCAAGUAGGAGUGGCCAUGCAACAUUUAGGAGCUCUUCUUUUAGAGCUUGGUCGUACUAUUCUGACAUUGCGUAUGGGGCAGUCCCCUGUAUGAUUUCUUACCUUUC